AACCCCAAUAACAAUCACAAGAAGGGUCACUUGAACCAUGUGACCAAGGAGGAAGCACAGAAUGCGCCGGAUAUCGUACUCGGUACGUUCCUUGUCAACACAAUACCUGCCACGGUUUUGUUUGAUUCUGGAGCUUCUCACUCGUUCAUUUCAAAGAGUUUUGUUUUGCAACAUGAUUUUUCGAUGCUUCCUUUGGAAAAAUCCAUGAUCAUCAAGUCCCCCGGGAAUAAGCAAAUUACUCAGAGUUACUGCCAAGGUGUGGUUAUUGAGUUUGAAGGACUAAAGUUUCAGGCAAAACUCAUUGUAUUGGAAAAUAAAGGACUGGAUGUUAUCCUAGGAAUGGACUGGUUAACCACCAACAAGGGAUUUAUCGACUGCUUCAAUCGGACGGUAAUUCUUACUCAUCAUCACGGCAAGACGAUAAAAGUUGCAGCUCAAGAAAGACCAAUGUCACGACAACCAAAGUUGAACAAGGUGGACAUUUCAGAGUUAAGAAAAGUUCCAGUGGUGUGUGAGUUCCCUGACGUAUUUCCCGAAGAACUACCAGGCAUGCCACCAGACCGGGAAAUAGAGUUCAUCAUUGAACUAGCACCUGGAACCACCCCCAUUUACAAGAAACCUUACAGAAUGGCACCCCCGAGUUGGUAGAAUUAAAGAAGCAAAUAAAAGAAUUACUGGACAAAGGAUUUAUACGAGCCAGCUCCUCACCUUGGGUUUCACCAGUAUUAUUUGCAAAGAAAAAGGAUGGGACACUGAGGUUAUGUAUAGACUAUCGAGCACUCAACAUGGUCACCAUCAAAAACAAAUAUCCGAUACCACGGAUAAAUGAUUUAUUUGACCAGCUCGCACAAGCCAAGGUUUUCUCGAAAAUUGAUUUAAGAUCGGGGUAUCAUCAAUUAAAGGUACGGACAGAAGAUAUCGCCAAGACAACAUUCACCUCCAGAUAUGGAUUGUAUGAAUUUACAGUAAUGCCGUUUGGACUUUUUUACAAACGCCCCCGCAUAUUUUGUCCACCUCAUGAACAAAGUGUUUAUGAAAUUUAUGGACAAAUUUGUUGUGGUGUUCAUUGAUGAUAUUCUGGUAUACUCAAAGACACCGGAAGAACAUGCUGAACAUCUUAGAAUUGUACUAGGAGAAUUGAGGAAACAUCAAUUAUACGCCAAGUUCACCAAAUGUGAAUUUUGGUUAAGACAGGUUGGUUUUCUAGGCCAUGUAUUAACCCAAGAAGGUGUUGCCGUAGACCCAGAAAAAGUCAAGGCCGUACUUGGCUGGAAACCACCAGCCAACGUAACAGAUGUACGAAGUUUCCUAGGAAUGGCUGGAUAUUACCGAAGGUUUAUUGAGGGAUUCUCCACCAUAGCAAAAGCAAUGACACAGUUACUCAAGAAGGAUAAGAAAUUUGUAUGGACUGAAGCAUGCGAGAAAAGUUUCCAAGAACUCAAAAGGAAAUUAACAACAGCACCGGCAUUGGUUGUGCCAGACAUACACAAAAGUUUUGAAGUGUAUUGUGACGCAUCCCGGAAGGGCCUCGGGUGCGUAUUGAUGCAAGACGGCAAAGUUGUCGCAUAUGCUUCCAGGCAACUACGAAAGCAUGAAGAAAAUUAUCCUACUCAUGACUUGGAGUUGGCAGCAGUCAUCCAUGCACUCAAAGAGUGGAGGCACUUUUUGCUUGGAAAUCGUUGUGAAAUAUAUACGGAUCAUAAAAGCCUCAAAUAUAUUUUCACACAACCAGAACUCAUACGGCAACGACGCUGGUUGGAAUUAGUCAAAGAUUAUGAUGUUGGCAUUCACUACCAUCCAGGAAAAGCGAAUGUAGUGGCAGACGCUCUUAGUCGAAACCCCAGCUCGGGCAACGACAGUCUACAGAACUUGAGGCCUGAAUUUCAGCAGGAGUUCGCCAAACUCAACUUGGUGAUGGUCACUGAGGGCAACGUGUCAAAUCUGGAAAUACAGCCCACCCUAAUGGAACAGAUUAAGAAAGCUCAGCAUGGACAUCCCAGCAUUGAAGGCAUAAAGAAAAAAGUGAGUCUGGGCAAAGCUUCAGAAUUCGUCGUAGACGAUGAGGGAAUAUUAUGGUACGAGGACAGACGUUGCGUACCAAACAUAGAGGGCCUCAAACAGCAAAUUCUAACCGAAGGCCACACCGCUCCAUAUUCAAUCCACCCUGGAGGGACCAAAAUGUAAAAGGACAUCCAGGAAAAAAUUUGGUGGCACGGUAUGAAGAGGGAUAUAGCCACAUUCAUUGCAUGUUGUGAUUCAUGUCAACGCAUUAAAGCCGAGCACCAAAAACCAGCAGGGCUAUUACAGCCAAACAGGAUACCUGAGUGGAAAUGGGACGAAAUUGGAAUGGAUUUUAUUGUCGGACUACCUCGGUCACAAAACGGAAAUGAUGCCAUAUGGGUCAUCACCGAUAGAUUAACUAAAGUGGCACAUUUCAUCCCGGUAAAGACAACCCACACCACUCAGAAGCUUGCCAAGCUUUACCUCUCCCGUAUAGUUUGCCUGCAUGGAGUUCCAAAGACUAUAAUGUCCGACAGAGGCACUCAAUUCGUCUCUAGAUUUUGGGAUCAUUUACAACAAGCUCUGGGGACUCGACUAGCAUUCAGUACAGCAUACCACCCCCAGACUGAUGGACAAACUGAACGCGUGAACCAAAUUCUAGAGGACAUGCUGAGAGCAUGUGUUCUCACCUAUGGAACCAGUUGGGAAGAAAGCUUGCCAUAUGCCGAGUUCGCAUAUAACAACAAUUACCAAGCCAGUCUACAAAUGGCACCUUUUGAAGCCUUGUACGGGCGGAGAUGGCGUACUCCAUUAAAUUGGUCAGAAACAGGAGACAGUCGUAUCUUCGGCCCAGACAUGCUCAAGGAAGCCGAGGAGAAAGUUAGACUAAUCAGGGACCGACUCAAGACAGCUCAAAGCCGACAAAAGAGUUAUUACGAUCGAAAGCAUCGUGAAGUCAGCUUUGAACCCGGUGAAUAUGUGUAUCUACGAGUAUCUCCUAUGAGGGGCCUGCAACGGUUCAAAGUUAAAGGAAAGCUAGCCCCAAGAUUUAUUGGACCCUUCUGUGUAGUUGCACGAAGAGGCACAGUAGCCUACCAGCUAGACCUACCCAAAGAGCUGUCAGACGUCCACGACGUGUUCCACGUCUCACAGUUAAGGAAAUGUGUAAGCUACCCCGAGAAGCAGGUGUCUCAUGAGAACAUUGACGUGCAACCAAACCUCACCUACAUGGAACGUCCAAUAAAAAUACUGGAGGAGUCUGAAAGGAGGACCCGUCAGAAAACAAUUAAGUUUUUAAGGUUCAGUGGAGCAAUCACACCGCGGAUGAAUCAACAUGGGAAAGAGAGGAUUUUCUUCGGACAGAGUACCCACACCUAUUUAAGGAUCAGCUGAAAUCUCGGGGACGAGAUUUUUCCUAAGGGGGUAGGUGUUGUAACACCCCAAAAAAAAAUUUAUUUGGUUUUAUUAAUUUCCUUUUUAGGGGAAGGAGGUUAUUUAAUUUUUUUUUAAACCUCUCCUUCUCAAAAACCUUUAAGGCAAGUAUUUUAUGUGUUCUUCCCAACAUUUACUUUGGUCUUGAGGGCUUUCCAUUUAGUGUUGACUCAACACAAAUAUUUUCUUUGGGAAAGUCUUUGAAAUCCUUUCUUUUAAAAAUAAUCAUAUGACUUAUGAAUUGAUUCUUCCUCAUUCAAUUUUUUUUCUUACCAUGACCUAGGUUGAAAAUUUUCUUCCAAAAUCCCUCCCUCCACUUUGAGUCAAGUCAAAUAUCCAAUCCCAGCAAGUUCAACCCAUUUUGAUUUUGACUCUAUUUAUUUUAUCCUCAAAACUAUUUCCGUCAUUUAUUUUGAACCUUAGUGAUUUACAAAGGAACCACCAGAUCCCUUUUGAGUUUUGGUUCCAAACAAACUCCUCUGACUAGUCCUUAGUACCCCCAACCAAGAUCCCUCAAGAUCCACUUGUCCACAAUUCAAAAUUUUCAAAUUUUGCUUGCUGCAAGUUUGGACCAGAUUUGCCAUUUUGGGUGAAAUUCAUUAUUUUCUUCUCCAAAAAUUCUGAGAUAAAUCAGGCAGCCCCCAGAUGCAUUGAGAGACCACCUCACCAAAGAUCAGCUCCAGAAAAAUUUUCCACAUGCCUGAAUCAUUUCAUCGAACAGUUGGCAUGCACUGUUUCUGUUCAAAUUCAGAAAGUUCAGAGUUUCAGUGUUGGGUUCAGUCGACAGCGUCGUUUUCUUCAGAGCCUCGGUGUCAAUCUCACCAGUGCUCGCUCUGGCCUCUUGCUCACUGCUCCUUCUUCUUAUCCAUCGCGCCGCACGGUCGUCUGGACGGUUGCGAGCGUCGGCGGUGAGCUGGCAGAGGUACACCGCCCCCGUGAGCAGCGACAGCAACGCUCGCUGCGGCUGCCAGAGAAGCUCAGCGAGGUACGACGCCGUCCAGCACCGCCCACACCACCAGGAGCCUCCGCGUGGCCGUCCUCUUCUCUGGACGCGCUGCAGCACGGUCGCCGUGGCCUGAGAUGCGCAGAGCGCGCUCUCUGCCGCCGACGAGCCCGUGAGGCCGUUCCGUCGAAGGCCUGGAGUAUCGCCCAAGUUGUACCAAGAUUAGCCUCUGGAUGGGACCAGUAGACCAAUCCGUAGCUGCCCAGUCGCCUAAAACCUCCGUUCGACCGCUUCUCGCCGUAAUCAUCGCUGGAGUUAUCCCGUUCUCGGCAACCGCCUCGGACCGGCUAUAAAAGGGAGCCUCGAGCUCGCCUUCGACCCAGCACCACUCCUACACCUCACCAGAGCCACGCCUAGCUACUAGGGAGACCUCGGGGAGGCCUUCUUCCCCGACUCCGGCCGCCCCGAUCCGCUUUGGGCUCCGACACGAUUCCCUCUGGUGAGACCACCCCCGCCUCCCAAACCUUGCCAGCAGCCUCAUCAUGCACCCACUCUUCUAACCUGAGCCCCAAUUUGAUGGUUGCAGCCCUCCUCGGCGAGAUCCAUCACCACCCGAACCACCGUCCGCCGGAGUAGAGGCCGCCGUCGACGUGGUGCUCGCCGACGACCAACUCCACCACCCACAGGUGCGGAAGAGCACCGUGAGUCCGUAGGUACCAACCACUUCCCCUACCUCGUCGGGGAUCGACGCCGGCGGCCACCGCGGUCCUCGGGCGCCAGUGUGCUCUGUUUGAAAUUCAAACCUGACGGGUGGGACCCCCUCGUCAGCUUUUUCUCUUUUUCGAAACGUCAUCCGGUCAGGGGGCAUGGGUGUUUCUGGUUGGGACCGAGAGGGGGGCACCCCUUAGAGCGUGCGAUAUAAAUUUGAUCCCAUGCUACUCGAGGUUGUGGCCUCCCCGUCUUAAAGUUUUUUUGAACGUUGCCUAGGGUGAUCCCUAGCAGCGGAAUGUGGAAUGGGUGUGUACUCGUUAGAUGUGUUUCUCCUAAAAUACCGUAAACGGAACUAGUUCUUUGUGACUACUGAAAUCUGUUGGCUGUGGUUAAAGAGUACAAACUCUGCAGAGUCAAAACCCAUCCGAGUAACCGUGUCCAUGGUCAAGGAUCUUGGUCAACAUAUCCAUAUCAGUAUCAGUAUCAGUCUCAACGUCCGUCUCAGCGUCAGUCUCUGUGUCAGUCUCAGUGAAAAUCCCCGGUGAAUAAACAUGAAUGGUAAACCCGGCUGAAUGUUAUUCCUGUGGAUGGACUAACCAGUUUAUUAUUACAUACAUGAGUAUUCCCUUGAGGUGAUUUAAAUUCAUGAGCUACUUGAAUUCGAAUAAUGAAAUAUAAGCCCUUUAUGUGAUGUCGCUCAGACGUCCGACUGUGGCACUCUUGUUAUUUUUACUUUUGAUAUAAGCCCUUUAUGUGAUGUCGCUCAGAUGUCCGACUGUGGCACUCNNNNNNNNNNNNNNNNNNNNNNNNNNNNNNNNNNNNNNNNNNNNNNNNNNNNNNNNNNNNNNNNNNNNNNNNNNNNNNNNNNNNNNNNNNNNNNNNNNNNNNNNNNNNNNNNNNNNNNNNNNNNNNNNNNNNNNNNNNNNNNNNNNNNNNNNNNNNNNNNNNNNNNNNNNNNNNNNNNNNNNNNNNNNNNNNNNNNNNNNNNNNNNNNNNNNNNNNNNNNNNNNNNNNNNNNNNNNNNNNNNNNNNNNNNNNNNNNNNNNNNNNNNNNNNNNNNNNNNNNNNNNNCACUCAGACGUCCGACUGUGGCACUCUUGUUAUUUACUUUUGAUAUAAGCCCUUUAUGUGAUGUCGCUCAGACGUCCGACUGUGGCACUCUUGUUAUUUACUUUUGAUAUAAGCCCUUUAUGUGAUGUCGCUCAGACGUCCGACUGUGGCACUCUUGUUAUUUACUUUGAUAUAAGCCCGUUAUGUGAUGUCGCUCAGACGUCCGACUGUGGCAUUCUUGCUAUUUACUUUUGAUAUAAGCCCUUUUUGAGAUGUCGCUUAGACGUCCGACUAUGGCACGCACUGUCGUUUAUAUUUCAAUAUGAGCCCUUUAUGUGGUGUCGCUCUGACGCCCGACUGCGGCAUUGUUAAUUUAUUUUACCUUUCGAGGCGUCGCUUCAGACACCCGAUCGGUCUUCAACUAUUUUAUUGGGAUUUCGGGAGGACUACCGCCUGACUUCCUUUUUAUUUAUCGUGCAGUGCAAUUUAUUAUCUGAGUGCGCAUUACUAAUCUGCUCAUGUGCAUCAUGUUUGCAUUUGUUAUAUCUUAUGUCCAAACUGUCUUGCGAGUACAUUCAAAGUACUCACCUGGCUUGUUGAUUUGGCCAGAUGUUGACGAAGGCGAUCUUAUGGAUGAAGAGUUCGAUAGCGAGUCCGAUGCCUAGAGGAGUCCCAGUCAGUUUCGUGCGAUCCUGGAAUUGGUCACUUGUGUUAUAUACGCUUCCGCUACACCAAUAAAAUCAUCGAGCCUCACUCCGGCGCUCGAUGAGCUGUAAAAUUUAGGAGUCUUGUCACCCAUUUCGCUGUGACAUAUCCACCACUACUUUGGUUACGAGUCAGUAGUUAUGCCACCAUACUCCUUGUGUCAUAUCCACCCUUAUGUAUUAUAUCGGCGUGCUUGUAAUAAAUUGUUGAGCAACCUCAGCUCAACCUUGUAUGAUAUUUAGUACUUCUGGAUUUCUGUAUCAAGGAUUUGUCCACUAGUAAGAAGGAUUCUUCUAUACUGGUUUGAUAUAAGGGUCGGUUUC
RNAcentral lists this long non-coding RNA (7164 nucleotides) under Triticum aestivum (bread wheat). RNAcentral's name for it is "long non-coding RNA (TAES_LNC004903)". The record is from RNAcentral. Lineage: Eukaryota; Viridiplantae; Streptophyta; Magnoliopsida; Poales; Poaceae.